GCUUCCUAGAGAUGGAGGCAGGCUCCGUUGACCAUCAACCCUCCUAAAAGGGGGACUUUCCCAGGGGAGGAAUCAGAAGAUUCAGAUCCUGAGAGCCAGUCAACAUCUAAUGUUCAGUCUUAACGAUCCUGCCAAUGUUAACAAUCCAUGUGUGCGUCAGCAAAAUAAGAAUGGAUCCAGUCAUCACCCCACCCCACCUUUCCAUUAACCUCAGCAACUUAUAAAAGCUACUAUAUCAUCACUUUGCCUAGAAAACUUUCUCCAGGACUACAAGCCCUUACUUCCAGAAUUCCCUGGUGGCUCAGAGGUUAAAGCGUCUGCCUCCAAUGCAGGAGACCCAGAUUCGAUCCCUGGAUUGGGAAGAUCCCCUGGAGAAGGAAAUGGUAACCCACUCCAGUAUUAUUGCCUGGAGAAUCCCAUGGACGGAGAAGCCUGGAGACAUGGGUUCGACCCCUGGUCUGGGAAGUAUCCCUGGAGAAGGAAAUGGCAAAUAUUCCUGUGUAGAGAACCCCACAGACAGAUGAGCCCAGUGUGCUACAGUCCACGAGGUCACAAAGAGUCGGACACAACUUAGCAACUGAACAACAAGAGGAUAUUAAUCAACAAU
Bos taurus (domestic cattle) is the source of this 607-nucleotide long non-coding RNA. NCBI's taxonomy places the organism in Eukaryota, Metazoa, Chordata, Mammalia, Artiodactyla, Bovidae. The record is from Ensembl.